Lepisosteus oculatus (spotted gar) is the source of this 513-nucleotide long non-coding RNA. RefSeq lists it as uncharacterized. The record is from RefSeq and is a predicted model, not a curated record. NCBI's taxonomy places the organism in Eukaryota, Metazoa, Chordata, Actinopteri, Semionotiformes, Lepisosteidae.
CGCAAAAACUUGAGCCGCUCGGCGAGUUUAUCUUCCAGCGGCUGCUCUGAUCUGCAUGCAAACGUGAACGAAGCCGGGAGAAAGCUCGACCUUUUGCGUUUUCAUGUAUUAUUUCUAAAAUCGAAUGAACAAGAAAUAAGGCGCUUUUGCAUUGCUGUCACCUAAAAGUAUGAACAGGGCUUUUUCUUUUUAUUUUAAAAAAAGGUGUACAGAUCCGGAUCGGAAGCGGAUCUAGAUCGGAUCGGCGCAGAGCCCUGCACUGCUGUCCCCUAGUGUAACGCAUAGCAAGUAACAGGGAGGAGAGUCCGCAGGGAGGGAAGACAGAACACAGUGAGCCAGACAGCCGUGCGAGUUUAAAGCAACUCCGCCACCUAGCGUCUGGGAGGGAAUGCGCACUGUAUCCGCAUAGAGGAUCGUGGAGGAGCCGGGGCCUAUCCAGCAUGCAACAGAUGCAAGGCAGAAUACACCCUGGACCAGUCCAUAGCAGGGCACACACAAACACACACGGGCAAG